RNAcentral lists this long non-coding RNA (2481 nucleotides) under Sus scrofa (pig). RNAcentral describes it as "lncRNA (ENSSSCG00040017455.1)". Lineage: Eukaryota; Metazoa; Chordata; Mammalia; Artiodactyla; Suidae. The record is from RNAcentral.
CAGGUAGUGACACUCAGGUCCGGCCUGCACGACGCCUAUACACUGUGAGCCUGCCCCCCGAGGGCUGGGCCCCCCCUCCAGAGCCCCCCAGCUUCUCCAGCCCAGAGGGCUCCUCCAGCAGUGAGGACACAGCAGAUCAGGAUCUUUGUGAGCAACCAAAGAGAAGAAGAAUUAGAAAGCAUAAAUCAAAGAAGAAACUUAAAAAUCCCAAUAUUCAUGUCGAACAAGCAGAAUUAGAGAAGCAGCAGAGUCUUUUACAAGAAAAAUUGCAGCCACGGCACACAGAUGGCCCCAUGAUAAGCAAAAAUAAAAAAAGGAAACUGAAAAAGAAACAGCAGAUUAAAAGGAAGAAAGCAGCUGGCUUACUAACAGGAGCCUCUGGCGUCAACUUCAUGUACCAGCCUGAGGAGAACAGCAGCGGGCAGGACGACAUGAGAGGAAGCGGUGGGGAGGACGCCCCAGACACAGAGGAGGACGGAGCCCUGGGCGCAGAGGAGGACAGAGCCCUGGGCACAGAGGAGGACAGAGCCCCAGAUGCAGAGGAGGAGGAAAGGGCCGCCCUCGAAGCCACAGAUGCAGAGAAGGAAAGGGGCGCAGAGAAGGAAGGGGUUACAGACGCCGGGGAGGAAGACAUUAAAAAUACCAAUGAAAAGGCAAAUAGCAUCCUAAACUUUCUGAAGUCAACACAAGAAAUUUAUUUUUUUGAUGGUAUGUUUUUUCCUGUUGUUCCUUUGAAUAGUGGCAUCCACUUAUUUGGGGGAAAUAAGCAAAUGUAAAAAAUAUUAUUUAGAUGUUUAAAAUCCAAAACAUAUUAAAAUAUUCAGUAUUCAGAAUAAGUUGUUAGUUUUGAGGCCAAAAUCUGCAUAUUUAAAUUCACCUCAGUGAAGAUCUGGGCUGGCCCUCUGCCCCAGGCUCACCUAGAAAGACUGCCAGCCGGCCCUUUGGAGCUGUGGGGGCACUCUAGAUUGGUCUCAUCAUUCUCUUUUCUCUACAGUGUGAUUUCAGAAUAUCUUGGUAUUCUCAGAUAUGCGUCUAAAGAAAAGAUAAAUCCAGAUUGGGGGUUUUGAUGUACUCUUGUUCCUUUUCAUCAGCCAGCAGAGAAAUGGAAGAAGUCCAGCUCUCUGUCUAGGGCACAUGUUGACUUGCUCCAUGUGUGACUUGCGGUUUCACAGUAAGCGUAUCUGAUCACUAUUUGUACUGAUGUAGGAGAUGAACUUACUCUAGAUUUAUUCUAAUGGGUGGCAAUUUCUUACCUUUGUAUGGAACUUCACGGGCAGCUGCCCUAUGGAUCAGGAAGAAGCAGCAGGUGCUGGCCAGGAGCCAAGGGCAGAGGCUCUGAGAUAAGCCAUCUCCCGUUCUGAUGCAUACCUGCUGGGUUAGUACAUCCAGACUCCAGCACCAACAGAGUGAAGAAAUACUGGCUAUGUGAUAACUUGUGGUGUAAGGAAUGGAUUUAGACAGUGAUGCAAAAAUACCAUGCUUGAUGGAUCCAUUUGAACCAAGAAGAUUAACCCCUUUCUCUUUAGCUUGUUUGUCAGUACUUUGUUUUAAGCUGAAAACAUCCUUGACAAAUAGCCCAAUGCCACUCACAGGUGGCAUGGCUGGUACAUUGAGGGGAAGGACUAGGGGUUCAGAGAGAUCUCCCAACAGAGAUCUCUGUUGGGAGGUGCAGGGCUCGGGGCAAAUGGCCCCCCCUGCCAAGGAGACGAAAAGCCCAUUUGAAGUGUACUUAGAAUCUUGAAAGCUGCUGAGUAAAAGCCUGAGAGGACAAAUCCCAGAGGAGGUGAUGGCCAGGGCGCUGAGCCUGAACCCCACAGCCCUCCUUCCCUCAAGGUGCCUGCCACUCUGGACAAGGGCUUGGGUGAGGCCUGGGGAAGGGGCAGCAGGGUUCACAGCAGCCAGGUGGGCCAGUUCUGUGAGGGGAGAAGCAGAGGUCCUACUAGUGAUAGGCUGGACUUUGUCACGUCUUGAGGGACUGAGCUGACUGGGUUGGACUGACCCAGUACAGCACAUAGGCCGUGCUCAGGUGCAGGUAGGUACCUGCUUGAGUUCAGCGGUCCCUGAGUGGACAAGUCCACUGCCCCUCUGUCUUCCGAGCGUGGCCAAGGGGGGACCUCCCUGGAGUAAGAGUUGCCAGCCAAACCCUGGGAUUCUCCCAGUCCUGCAGGGGAGCAUGCCAGGCACAGCAAGGUCAGGACCAUACCACCAAAACCAAAUGUUGGAAGAAAAUGGAGAAAAACUCAAAAUGGAGAGUUUUCGCCAGAUAAUUUAAAUCUGUUAGGAUAAUAAAAUGGAAAUUCUAGGCCUGAGAAAUAUAAUAAGUGAAAUUAAGAACUCAAAGACGAGUUCAAACAAAGCGUCCUCUGGACAAAGCGUCCUCUGGUGGCCUAGUGGCUAAGGAUGUGGUGUUGUCACUACUGGGAUGCAGGUUAGACUUACAAAUGCCACAGACAUGACCAAAAAAAAAAAAAAAAAAAAAAA